UCCAGAGGUCCCGAGCGUUGUUCGGAUUCACUGGGCGGAAAGGGUGCGUAGGUGGUUAGGUAAGUCCGAUGUGAAAUCUCCAGGCUCAACCUGGAAAUGGCAUUGGAUACUAUUUAGCUUGAGGAGUGGAGGGGGGACUGGAAUUCUCGGUGUAGCAGUGAAAUGCGUAGAUAUCGAGAGGAACACCAGUGGCGAAGGCGAGUCCCUGGACACUUCCUGACACUGAGGCACGAAAGCUAGGGGAGCAAACAGG
Molecule: ribosomal RNA, 253 nt
Filed under: uncultured bacterium
Lineage: Bacteria
Description: partial 16S ribosomal RNA
Rfam family: Bacterial small subunit ribosomal RNA
Source: RNAcentral